This is a small nuclear RNA of Ailuropoda melanoleuca (giant panda), 148 nucleotides long. Its record names the gene U12. It matches the Rfam family "U12 minor spliceosomal RNA". From Rfam's summary of the family: Although the U12 sequence is very divergent from that of U2, the two are functionally analogous. The record is from Ensembl. NCBI's taxonomy places the organism in Eukaryota, Metazoa, Chordata, Mammalia, Carnivora, Ursidae.
AUGCCUUCAAUUUAUGAGUAAGGAAAAUAACGAUUUGGGUGACACCCGAGUCCUCACUGCUAACAGGCGAUGAAUAUUUGAGUGGGUAAAGAUUGCCCCUAAGGAACCCGCCUCCUUUGCGAGAUGCCUGGGAGUCGCGAUCGGCUCU